CCUACGGGAGGCAGCAGUGGGGAAUAUUGGGCAAUGGGCGCAAGCCUGACCCAGCAACGCCGCGUGAAGGAAGAAGGCUUUCGGGUUGUAAACUUCUUUUAUCAGGGACGAAGCAAGUGACGGUACCUGAUGAAUAAGCCACGGCUAACUACGUGCCAGCAGCCGCGGUAAUACGUAGGUGGCGAGCGUUAUCCGGAUUUACUGGGUGUAAAGGGCGGGUAGGCGGGAAUGCAAGUCAGAGGUGAAAACCACGGGCUCAACCUGUGGCCUGCAUUUGAAACUGUAGUUCUUGAGUACUGGAGAGGCAGACGGAAUUCCUAGUGUAGCGGUGAAAUGCGUAGAUAUUAGGAGGAACACCAGUGGCGAAGGCGGUCUGCUGGACAGCAACUGACGCUGAGGCGCGAAAGCGUGGGGAGCAAACAGGAUUAGAUACCCGUGUAGUC
RNAcentral lists this ribosomal RNA (443 nucleotides) under uncultured bacterium. RNAcentral describes it as "partial 16S ribosomal RNA". It matches the Rfam family "Bacterial small subunit ribosomal RNA", at positions 338 to 795 of the family's 1533-position model. The record is from RNAcentral.